GAUGAACGCUGGCGGCGUGCCUAAUACAUGCAAGUCGAACGAAACGUCUUUAUCACCGAGUGCUUGUACUCACCGAUAAAGAGGUGAGUGGCGAACGGGAGAUUAACACGUGGUUAACCUGCCCUCAAGAGGGGGAUAACACUAGGAGACAGGUGCUAAUACCGCAUAACCAUGGUUACCGCAUGGUAACUAUGUAGAAGGGGGUUAUACUACCUCUGUUUGAUGGGCGCGCGGCGCAUUAGCUAGGUGUUGGGGUAUAGGCUUACCUAGGCAAUGACGCGUCGCCCAAUUGAGAGGCUGGUCGGCCACCUUGGGACUGAGCCGCGCCCCAUGCUCCUACGGGAGGCCGCAGUAGCGAACGUGCCGCAAUGGGCGAAAGCCUUGUGGAGCAACGCCACGUCGGUGGCGGCGGUCUUCCGAUCGUAAAACCGUGUUGUUAGUGAAGAACGUGCGUGGGAGUAACUGUUCACGUUGCGACGGUAUCUAGCCAGAAAGCCACGGCUAACUACGUG
RNAcentral lists this ribosomal RNA (512 nucleotides) under uncultured bacterium. RNAcentral's name for it is "partial 16S ribosomal RNA". It matches the Rfam family "Bacterial small subunit ribosomal RNA", at positions 28 to 507 of the family's 1533-position model. The record is from RNAcentral.